GGCACAGAAAACACUUUCACAAGCCUGUUGAUACUGAUAGAAAGUGUAGAAAUAGAAAUUGGUAUUUCUACAUAGAAAACUCUUCUGAAUUCUGCUCUAUGCUCUGCUAAGGAUAGAAAAGGCAGACUGAGAGCUAGAAAUAAAUGCAGCUUAUUUUCCUGCUAUUUCUUACCCUAUCUUCACUAACUGGUUUCUGCAGAUGACUACAAUCAGAGAGUAUUCAAAAGGCAUCAUUUACCAGCUAUCAUGUAGUCAUUCUUUCAAACACACAUUAGUGAUGUAUCAACCAAGAGUUCUCCCAGGUCAUAAAGCAAUGACAAGCUAAGCCUAAAAUAGGAGAAAGGUUCCACAGAUUUCCCACAUAACGUGGGGUCAAAAAGGAAGGGAACAGCCUUAUCUGAGGCAUUUCACAAACAGUGCUGUGACAGAAGUCCAGAAGCGGCAGUCCAUGCUCUACCACUUCCCUACCUAAAGCAAACUGGAGCACUUUAACUUACAGUUCCUGUGAGAUUCUUGGAUCCCACAGAAAAGGAACUUGCACAGAUUCUUUUGGCAUGCCUGGUAUAAACACCCUUAUUAUGACUUAACAAAAAGAAUGGUCUUUAAGUUAACUUCACACGUGUGCAUAAUUCAAGGAAACUUGUCUUUAUCCUUUGUGAAGAAGCUGAGCACACACACAAAAAAGAAAGCAGAACAGCACAUUUGAACCUGA
This is a long non-coding RNA of Lagopus leucura (white-tailed ptarmigan), 712 nucleotides long. RefSeq lists it as uncharacterized. The transcript is spliced from 3 exons. Lineage: Eukaryota; Metazoa; Chordata; Aves; Galliformes; Phasianidae. The record is from RefSeq and is a predicted model, not a curated record.